UACGUAGGGUGCAAGCGUUGUCCGGAAUUAUUGGGCGUAAAGAGCUCGUAGGUGGUUUGUCGCGUUGUUCGUGAAAUGCCACAGCUUAACUGUGGGCGUGCGGGCGAUACGGGCAGACUGGAGUACUGCGGGGGAGACUGGAAUUCCUGGUGUAGCGGUGGAAUGCGCAGAUAUCAGGAGGAACACCGGUGGCGAAGGCGGGUCUCUGGGCAGUAACUGACGCUGAGGAGCGAAAGCAUGGGGAGCGAACAGG
Molecule: ribosomal RNA, 253 nt
Filed under: uncultured bacterium
Lineage: Bacteria
Description: partial 16S ribosomal RNA
Rfam family: Bacterial small subunit ribosomal RNA
Source: RNAcentral